This 798-nucleotide ribosomal RNA is filed under the name Triticum aestivum (bread wheat). RNAcentral's name for it is "partial small subunit ribosomal RNA". The record is from RNAcentral. Lineage: Eukaryota; Viridiplantae; Streptophyta; Magnoliopsida; Poales; Poaceae.
AUCCACUCCUCUCGCGACCCAACUCUCUGUCUCAUGCGACCCUCACGCCGCGACCAACGCCAUCGAUUCCGGCGACGUCCACCAGCUCGCAGCACACCGACGAGCUAGUCUCCGACCCUCCAUCCUCUGGUCCGGCUGGAUCCACCACUUCUGGUCUCCAGCACUCGCCCACGACCCCUCGCCUAUGGCUAGGGUUUCGGCUGCGGCGUCACGUCCAUCACCGGCUCGUCUCCGGCGGCUCCUCCCCGUCGGACACCGCGCCCUCUCCACCCCUGGGUGGCGCCCCCUAGCUAGGUGCGCUCGUGCGCGUUGGUCUGUAUGGCGUUGACCCCGACCUCCUUUGUUGCAUCUCCGGCGCGGCCGUGCAUCCCGUGCAUCAUGUGAUGGCCUCCUCUGCCGCGCGACGGUGGUAGCCAACCUGCACUGCGGCCGCUGCAUCGCCUACGAUCUUCUUCAUCAGUGCAUCUCCCACCUGAUCGACGCCGACGCCACGGUCCUCGAGCAGAACAGGGUUUGGCAGUUAAUCCGUGUUACUGGAGAUUGAAGAUUUUUAGCAGGAUUUCUUGGGUCCGGAUAGCUGCCUACAAUCGUUGGUGUUGGAGAUAAAAAUCAGCUAGUAGUGCAUUUUCUUUCAAGUGAUGUAACUCACUCUUAAAAAAAUACUUAUAGGGCUUUCUAGAUAUGCUCGUGAUGUUUUGAUAUUAAGCUUUGCUUUUUCAAAUCAGAUUAGAUUGUUGGAAAUCGCUAUUGUCAUGUAAACAAUUGCUAUUUUUUAAGGAAUAUAUAAUUUGGUUGUCC